GACGAACCGUGCGAACGUUGUUCGGAAUCACUGGGCUUAAAGGGCGCGUAGGCGGGCCACCAAGUCAGGGGUGAAAUCUUUCGGCUCAACCGGAAAAGUGCCUUUGAUACUGGUGGCCUCGAGGGAGGUAGGGGUCUGCGGAACUUCCGGUGGAGCGGUGAAAUGCGUAGAUAUCGGAAGGAACGCCGGUGGCGAAAGCGGCGGACUGGACCUCUUCUGACGCUGAGGCGCGAAAGCCAGGGGAGCAAACGGG
RNAcentral lists this ribosomal RNA (253 nucleotides) under uncultured bacterium. Its description in RNAcentral is "partial 16S ribosomal RNA". It matches the Rfam family "Bacterial small subunit ribosomal RNA", at positions 524 to 776 of the family's 1533-position model. RNAcentral also lists the same sequence under 1 other name. The record is from RNAcentral.